RNAcentral lists this ribosomal RNA (442 nucleotides) under uncultured bacterium. RNAcentral's name for it is "partial 16S ribosomal RNA". It matches the Rfam family "Bacterial small subunit ribosomal RNA", at positions 29 to 507 of the family's 1533-position model. The record is from RNAcentral.
AUGAACGCUGGCGGCAUGCCUCACACCUGCCAGUCGCUCGGUAAGGCUCUUCGGAGUACACGAGAGGCGGACGGCUGAGUAACGCGUAGGAACACACCCUGCAGUGCGGGAUAAGACACCGAAAGGUGUUCUAAUACCGCAUACGGUCUUCGGAUUAAAGCAUUUAUGCGCUGAAGGAGUGGCCUGCGUCAUAUUAGAUAGUUGGUGAGGUAAUGGCUCACCAAGUCGAUGAUGUGUAGCUGGUCUGAGAGGAUGAUCAGCCAGACUGGAACUGAGACACGGUCCAGACUCCUACGGGAGGCAGCAGUGAGGAAUAUUUCACAAUGAGCGAAAGCUUGAUGGAGCAAUGCCGCGUGCAGGAUGAAGGCCCUCGGGUUGUAAACUGCUUUUAUAAGAGAAGAUUAUGACGGUAACUGAUGAAUAAGGGACGGCUAACUACGUG